ACCUCCGAGGAGCGCUGCGAGGCGCCGGGCUGUCCAGCCCAGGCCCCCAGGCUCGGACCCCGCCGCCACGGUGGGUUGCAGUUCAACGGCGCUCACCCUGC
This 101-nucleotide non-coding RNA is filed under the name Thauera terpenica. RNAcentral's name for it is "SAH sequence". It matches the Rfam family "SAH (S-adenosyl-L-homocysteine) riboswitch aptamer". The record is from RNAcentral. Lineage: Bacteria; Pseudomonadati; Pseudomonadota; Betaproteobacteria; Rhodocyclales; Zoogloeaceae. RNAcentral also lists the same sequence under 1 other name.